Molecule: transfer RNA, 68 nt
Filed under: Fukomys damarensis (Damara mole-rat)
Lineage: Eukaryota; Metazoa; Chordata; Mammalia; Rodentia; Bathyergidae
Rfam family: tRNA
About the family: Transfer RNA (tRNA) molecules are approximately 80 nucleotides in length. Their secondary structure includes four short double-helical elements and three loops (D, anti-codon, and T loops).
Source: Rfam by way of RNAcentral
GGUGUAGCUUAAUGGUAAAGCACUUGUCUCACACUUGGCAUGAAGCCUUAGGUUCACUCCCUAGCACC